AAAGUUGACGGUGGAUACCUAGGGACUCAGAGAUGAUGAAGGGCGUAGAAACCCGCGAUAGGCUUGGAAUAGCUGGAAACAAGCAUUGACGCCAAGAUCCCCGAAUAGGACAACCUUUUUAAACUACUUAUUGAAUUCAUAGAUAAGUAAGAAGUAACCCAGUGAAUUGAAACAUCUUAGUAGCUGGAGGAAAAGAAAGCAAACGCGAUUCCCAUAGUAGCGGCGAGCGAACAGGGAACAGCCUAAACCAAUUAUCAUGUAUUGGGGUAGUUGGGAAAAAGAACAAUAGCCAAUAGCAAAGUAACGAAGCAGCUGAAUCCUGCACCAUAGAUGGUGAAAGUCCAGUAGUUAUGUUGUUAAAUUCUCUUUUCUCCCGAGUAGCAUGGGGCACGUGAAAUCCCGUGUGAAUCUGCGAGGACCACCUCGUAAGGCUAAAUACUCCUGAGUCACCGAUAGUGAACUAGUACCGCGAGGGAAAGGUGAAAAAGAACCCCUGGAGGGGAGUGAAAUAGAUCAUGAAACCGUCAACUGACAAGCAGUGGGAGAGCUUUUAAGCUUGACCGCGUUCCUGUUGAAGAAUGAACCGGCGACUUAUAGGAGGUGGCAAGGUUAAAGAAAUCAAUUCUGAAGCCAAAGCGAAAGCAAGUCUGAAAUAAGGCGAAAGGUCACUUCUUAUGGACCCGAACCUGGGUGAUCUAACCAUGACCAGGGUGAAGCUUGGGUAAAGCCAAGUGGAGGCCCGAACCGACUGAUGUUGAAAAAUCAGCGGAUGAGUUGUGGUUAGGGGUGAAAUGCCAAUCGAACUCAGAGCUAGCUGGAUCUCCCCGAAAUGCGUUGAGGCGCAGCGAUUGUUGAUGGGCUAUUAAGGGGUAAAGCACUGUUUCGGUGCGGGCUGCGAAAGCGGUACCAAAUCGUGGCAAACUAAGAAUACUUAAUAUGCUUUCCAACAAUCAGUGAGACGGUGGGGGAUAAGCUUCAUCGUCGAGAGGGAAACAGCCCAGAUCAUCAGCUAAGGCCCCUAAAUAAUGACUAAGUGGGAAAGGAAGUGAGAAUGCUCAGACAACCAGAAGGUUUGCUUAGAAGCAGCCAUCCUUUAAAGAGUGCGUAAUAGCUCACUGGUUAAGCGUUUUUGCGCCGAAAAUGCUCGGGACUAAGUCAUUUGCCGAAGCUGUGAGAUAUUGAAUGAUAUCGGUAGGGGAGCGUUCCGCUCUAGGGUGAAGUAUUUUUGAAAAAAAAUAUGGACGAAGCGGAAGUGAGAAUGUCGGUUUGAGUAACGAAAACACUGGUGAGAAUCCAGUGCCCCGAAAACCUAAGGGUUCCUCCACUAGGUUCGUCCAUGGAGGGUUAGUCAGGACCUAAGGCAAGAUCGAAAGGUGUAGUCGAUGGAAAACAGGCGAAUAUUCCUGUACUCUUUUUAUUUGAUACCGGAGGACGAAGCAAGAUUCAUAUCAUUAAGUUAUAUUGGAAAUUAGUGAUAUCAAUCAGAAUUAGACUUUGAAGAAAAACUUAGUCACAUAAUUUAAAAAGCUUCCGAGAAAAGUCCGAACUAUUGCUAAAUAAAAAGACCUGUACCCGAAACUGACACAAGUAGGUAGGUAGAGAAUACCAAGGGGAGCGAGAUAACUCUCUCUAAGGAACUCGGCAAAAUGGCCCCGUAACUUCGGGAGAAGGGGUGCCUCUAUUCAGAGGCCGCAGUGACCAGGCCCAGGCGACUGUUUACCAAAAACACAGGUCUCCGCUAAGUCGUAAGACAAUGUAUGGGGGCUGACGCCUGCCCAGUGCCGGAAGGUGAAGGAAGUCGGUGAUUCUUUUUGAAAAAGCUGGUGACCGAAGCCCCGGUGAACGGCGGCCGUAACWAUAACGGUCCUAAGGUAGCGAAAUUCCUUGUCGGGUAAGUUCCGACCCGCACGAAAGGCGUAACGAUCUGGGCGCUGUCUCAGAGAGAGACUCGGUGAAAUAGACAUAUUCGUGAAGAUGCGAAUUUAUCAUACUUGGACAGAAAGACCCUAUGAAGCUUGACUGUAGUCUGGAAUUGGGUUUGGGCUUUUCUUGCGCAGACUAGGUGGGAGGCGUUGAUCAUUUGUUUCCGGAUAAAUGUGAGCCAUCAGUGAGAGACCACUCUUGAAAGGCUAGAAUUCUAAUGGCGAUCCUUGAAUCAGGACGCUUGACAGUUUCAGAUAGGCAGUUUGACUGGGGCGGUCGCCUCAUAAAAAGUAACUGAGGCGUACAAAGGUUCCUUCAGAAUGGAUGGAAAUCAUUCGGAGAGUAUAAAGGUAUAAGGGAGCUUGACUGAAAGACUUACAAGUCGAACAGGGGCGAAAGCCGGUCUUAGUGAUCCGACGGUGCCGCGUGGAAGGGCCGUCGCUCAACGGAUAAAAGUUACUCUAGGGAUAACAGGCUGAUCUUCCCCAAGAGUUCACAUCGACGGGAAGGUUUGGCACCUCGAUGUCGAUUUCUCGCAACCUGGGGCGGUAGUACGUCCCAAGGGUUGGGCUGUUCGCCCAUGAAAGCGGGACGCGAGUUGGGUUCAGAACGUCGUGAGACAGUUCGGUCCAUAUCCAGUAUGAUCGUUAGAGUAUUGAAAGAAUUUCUCCCUAGUACGAGAGGACCGGGAGGGACACACCAAUAGUUUACCAGUUGUCGUUCCAACGGCAAACGCUGGGUAGCCAUGUGUGGAGUGGAUAACUGCUGAAAGCAUCUAAGUAGGAAGCCCAUCUUGAGAUUAGUACUCUCUGAGGUCACGGCAAGAAAAGCCGUUUU
Molecule: ribosomal RNA, 2760 nt
Filed under: Tetraselmis sp. GSL018
Lineage: Eukaryota; Viridiplantae; Chlorophyta; Chlorodendrophyceae; Chlorodendrales; Chlorodendraceae
Description: bacterial LSU rRNA
Rfam family: Bacterial large subunit ribosomal RNA
Source: RNAcentral